AAGCAUGUAGCUCAGUGGAUAGAGCAUCAGAUUCCGAUUCUGAAAGCCAAGGGUUCAAUUCCCUUCAUGCUUA
This 73-nucleotide transfer RNA is filed under the name Navicula veneta. Its description in RNAcentral is "tRNA-Arg". It matches the Rfam family "tRNA". From Rfam's summary of the family: Transfer RNA (tRNA) molecules are approximately 80 nucleotides in length. Their secondary structure includes four short double-helical elements and three loops (D, anti-codon, and T loops). Lineage: Eukaryota; Bacillariophyta; Bacillariophyceae; Naviculales; Naviculaceae. The record is from RNAcentral.